RNAcentral lists this ribosomal RNA (1276 nucleotides) under metagenome. Its description in RNAcentral is "bacterial LSU rRNA". It matches the Rfam family "Bacterial large subunit ribosomal RNA", at positions 1657 to 2925 of the family's 2925-position model. The record is from RNAcentral.
CCACUGGUGCGCGAGAUGAGUAUUCUAAGGCGCUUGAGAGAACUCAGGAGAAGGAACUCGGCAAAUUGACACCGUAACUUCGGAAGAAGGUGUGCCUUUAGUAGGUGAACCUGUACAAGGGGAGCCCAAUGAGGUUGCAAAAAAUCGGUGGCUGCGACUGUUUAAUAAAAACACAGCACUCUGCAAACACGAAAGUGGACGUAUAGGGUGUGACGCCUGCCCGGUGCUGGAAGAUUAAAUGAUGGGGUGCAAGCUCUUGAUUGAAGUCCCAGUAAACGGCGGCCGUAACUAUAACGGUCCUAAGGUAGCGAAAUUCCUUGUCGGGUAAGUUCCGACCUGCACGAAUGGCGUAACGAUGGCCACACUGUCUCCUCCUGAGACUCAGCGAAGUUGAAAUGUUUGUGAUGAUGCAAUCUCCCCGCGGAAAGACGGAAAGACCCCAUGAACCUUUACUGUAGCUUUGUAUUGGACUUUGAACAGAUCUGUGUAGGAUAGGUGGGAGGCUUUGAAGUGUGGUCGCUAGAUCGCAUGGAGCCAACGUUGAAAUACCACCCUGGUGUGUUUGAGGUUCUAACCUAGGCCCGUAAUCCGGGUCGGGGACAGUGCAUGGUAGGCAGUUUGACUGGGGCGGUCUCCUCCCAAAGCGUAACGGAGGAGUUCGAAGGUACGCUAGGUACGGUCGGACAUCGUGCUAAUAGUGCAAUGGCAUAAGCGUGCUUAACUGCGAGACUGACAAGUCGAGCAGAUGCGAAAGCAGGACAUAGUGAUCCGGUGGUUCUGUAUGGAAGGGCCAUCGCUCAACGGAUAAAAGGUACUCUGGGGAUAACAGGCUGAUACCGCCCAAGAGUUCAUAUCGACGGCGGUGUUUGGCACCUCGAUGUCGGCUCAUCUCAUCCUGGGGCUGUAGCCGGUCCCAAGGGUAUGGCUGUUCGCCAUUUAAAGAGGUACGUGAGCUGGGUUUAAAACGUCGUGAGACAGUUUGGUCCCUAUCUUCCGUGGGCGCUGCAGAUUUGAGGAAGCCUGCUCCUAGUACGAGAGGACCGGAGUGGACACACCUCUGGUGUAUCGGUUGUCACGCCAGUGGCAUUGCCGAGUAGCUAUGUGUGGAAGAGAUAACCGCUGAAAGCAUCUAAGCGGGAAACUCGUUUCAAGAUGAGAUCUGCCGGGGCCUUGAGCCCCCUAAAGAGUCGUUCAAGACCAGGACGUUGAUAGGUCGGGUGUGGAAGCGCAGUAAUGCGUUAAGCUAACCGAUACUAAUUGCUCGUGCGGCUUGACC